CGUCCUACCAGAGGAGAUGGUGUUGUUACACGACAGGCAUGCCAAAGAGGGUUCCACAGCUGUUGUUCUAAGUCGUAUGACAUCAAAGUAAAGAACUGUGGCAAAUACACCGCCUACUGUCUACAGGGAGUGGACACAUGUCCGUCGUGGUAUUGCUUCGGUGAUGAACCAUGUGGUUAUGAUGAAGUUGAUGAAAGAAAAUCAUAUGCAUAUGGAAUAGUAAAACAGGUUCAACAGUAAAUACCCAGUGGACAGAAACCAAAACAAACAGGAUAAAUAAACUCGCUUAUACUACAGAAGAUCUUCCACCAUACAAACCUUGAUAUCCUUACAUCUAAAUAUGAAUUCAGAUAUCAUGUUUCUUUUGACAUUGGUUGUUGUAAAAUACAUGUAUACAUUCUCAAGGUCGUGAGUAGGGUAAAAGUUAGCUGUGUUUCUAUAAAUUCCCAACACAGAUAAAAUACAUAUUAAGAUAAUGGUAAAUUACAGAUUAAAUCAACAAUGCAAAACAAGCUUCAAGUCGUUUGAAAAUGUAAUGGAUACUGGCUACAAGUGUUUCAAAAUUCUGAAUUUAUAGUGAAACAGACAUCGUUGAACUUUUUGUAUCUUCGAG
Molecule: long non-coding RNA, 613 nt
Organism: Saccostrea cuccullata (small rock oyster)
Lineage: Eukaryota; Metazoa; Mollusca; Bivalvia; Ostreida; Ostreidae
Exons: 3
Source: RefSeq, a predicted model, not a curated record